Molecule: ribosomal RNA, 460 nt
Filed under: uncultured bacterium
Lineage: Bacteria
Description: partial 16S ribosomal RNA
Rfam family: Bacterial small subunit ribosomal RNA
Source: RNAcentral
CCUACGGGAGGCAGCAGUGAGGAAUAUUGGUCAAUGGACGAGAGUCUGAACCAGCCAAGUAGCGUGAAGGAUGACUGCCCUAUGGGUUGUAAACUUCUUUUAUAAAGGAGUAAAACGAGGCACGUGUGCCUUUUUGCAUGUACUUUAUGAAUAAGGAAAGGCUAACUCCGUUCCAGCAGCCACGGGAAUUCGGUGGGUCCGAGCGUUACCCGGAUUUAUUGGGUUUAAAGGGAGGGUAGGGGGGUUUGUCAGUUAGUUGUGAAAAUUUGGGGCUCAACCUGAACAGUGCAGUUGAUACUGGAAGUCUUGAGUGCAGAAGAGGUAGGCGGAAUGCGUGGUGUAGCGGUGAAAUGCGUAGAUAUCACGAAGAACCCCGAUUGCGAAGGCAGCUUACUGGACUGUGACUGACGUUGAGGCUCGAAAGUGUGGGUAUCAAACAGGAUUAGAUACCCCGGUAGUC